RNAcentral lists this ribosomal RNA (253 nucleotides) under uncultured bacterium. Its description in RNAcentral is "partial 16S ribosomal RNA". It matches the Rfam family "Bacterial small subunit ribosomal RNA", at positions 524 to 776 of the family's 1533-position model. The record is from RNAcentral.
UACGUAGGCAGCGAGCGUUGUUCGGAGUUACUGGGCGUAAAGGGUGUGUAGGCGGCUCCCUAAGUUUGGUGUGAAAUCUCCCGGCUCAACCGGGAGGGUGCGCCGAAAACUGGGGGGCUAGAGUGCGGGAUGGGAAAGUGGAAUUCCUGGUGUAGCGGUGAAAUGCAUAGAUAUCAGGAGGAACACCGGUGGUGUAGACGGCUUUCUGGACCGUAACUGACGCUGAGACACGAAAGCGUGGGUAGCAAACAGG